AUAUAUGGCCAUACUGCCUGAUCUUAUCUAACCUCAGAAGCUAAGCAGGAAUGGUCCAGUUAAUAUUGGAUGGGAGACCACCUGAAAAUGCCAUGUAUA
Pan paniscus (pygmy chimpanzee) is the source of this 99-nucleotide ribosomal RNA. NCBI's taxonomy places the organism in Eukaryota, Metazoa, Chordata, Mammalia, Primates, Hominidae. The record is from Ensembl.